UAAUAUUUAUGACAAUUUAACUUCCAUGGCUCCCUGCCCCCCCCAAAGAAUCCUGGGAAUUGUAGUUUUGGAAGGGUGCUAAGAAUUCUAGCCACUAUACACAUAAUAUCAUUAGUGCCAGAUUUAGUUACGUCUCUGAAGUUUAAGAACUUUCAGUCUGGCCAGUAUCUGGAUGGGUGAUUGCCUAGGAACCUUAUCUAAGCAUGCUACCUUUCCUGGUAUUUAUUUUCUCUAUGGUUCUGUCCUAGAGGUAGAUUUUUCAAGUACUUUUGUUGUUGGUCCUUCUACCCAUACACCACAUUUUAUCAGAUACUCUGCUAUUGUCACCCAUCUGUAAAAGCUUAGAAACUCCUAGGAAGAAAUAUCUCACAAUCCUAAUAUGUGAAGAAACCUUUAGCUUCACAUGAUAAUGAUUUUUCAUCUCCAUAGCAUCUCAAACAACUUACCCCAAAACUUAACACUUUUAUGUGUGUGUGUGUGUGUGUGUGUGUGUGUGACUUCACAGUGAGCUGAUCUUACAUGCAGAUAUCUGUACAAAUGGCUGUUUGAAAUGUUUUUCCAGUGUUAAAACAACCAAGAAUUUUAUGACACCUUAAAGACUAGCACAUAUAUUGUGGCAUAAGGAUGUAUCUGAUGAAAUAACCUCUGGUCCAUUGAAGCUGGCAUGACAAUAUAUUUGUUAUUCUUUAAGGUGUCAGAAAAACAGAUAGCAUUCUGGGACUUCUUUAGUCAGUGAACCUGAACCAUGCAUGAAUUUUUCUUAUGAACUGGACACCACUCCAUAGUGUUUUUUGGAAGGGGAACCAUUAUGUGUACGGCUUAUUUACAUAAUACGAUAUAGUACCAGUCAAGCAAAUUGAUGAGCUACAGAUCAUCACAAAAAGUCUGGUACCAAUGAGUGUCUAGGAAUGCAAACCACGGAGCAGUGCUUCUAUGCAUGAUCCAGUGAAAUGAAUGGACUCUUAAGUGUGACCGGUGCUCCAAUCCACGGGUAUAUCGAUUGUGCUUUAAAUUGCAGUGACACCAGUUUCUACUUGCAAUUCUGCAACGUAAGUCAACUCAUUGGGUGUUCCAUCUUUGCUUCUUCUGUACAGUGCACCAGGCAGCAAAAUGCUUUUGUGUGUGUGUCAAAAGUAAACCACUUCAUUUCUGUAACUUUUCUAUUCGUGCUAACUUGAGUGUGUUGUCGGCUCAGGAAAAGGGAGCAAGGCAGGAUCAUGAUCAUUCUUUAGCCCAGGGAGAAGAUCGUCUUUCCUGCCUUCCAGAGAUAGAACCUCGUUUCUUACCCUGCAUCACCUAGAAGAGAUAGAGAUGUGUUUUAUAUUGAAUCAAAACUAUGCUGCACCUUGCCCUGGGCCUUCUAGUCACCAGCUCAACAAAUCUCAGGCAGGCAUCCUUCUCAGUUUAGCACCCGAGAUCUUGAAUGGGAGAUGCUAUAGACUAGUCUUCCUCAACAUGAUGCCCUCCAGCUGUUAGACUGCAAGUCUCAUCUUCCCUGACUAUUGGUCAUGCAGACUGGGACCAAUGGGAGUCAGAAUCCAAAAUGUCUAGACAGCACCAGGUUGGGAAUACUGCUGUAGACCAAAUCGGAGGCAUUAAGUGUUGAUUUAAAGCAGAGCCUCGUGCCCAGCGGAAGGAUGAGGAAAAUGUGUUACAUACUCUAUAUUGCUUUAUUUACAGUUCAAAGCUGGUAUAUUACAGAAAGACAUCUUGCCUCUGCAAGAGCAGAAAAUGCAUCCUCUCUCCUCCACAGCUUGGAGAGAAUCACAGUGAAAAACAGGAAACCAGUGUACGUCACAUCCAGUCUCCCUUUCCCGUGAGAAACUCCAACAGUACAGACUGUGGAAUGUAAAACAAUGUCUUGUGACUGCAGUUGCUGCUCAGUGAGGGAAAUAGAAACCAACAUCCUCCCCCUUUCUGUGAACAUCACUGGGCAGCGUGUUUGCACAAUAUCAGUACAAACCCAACUUCUGCACAUAGGUACAGUGUUGAUCCCUUGAUACAAUCUUGGACAAUACAUCAGCAGGAAUUUCAUUACCUGGCAUAUAGGACACCGUUACAAGUCCCUUCUGAAUACAUUCCCUAGCAUGCUGCAACUUUAAUUGCAAGUGCUUUGUGCUUUGCUUACAACCUUCAGACUUGAGCAAAGCCAAACAUGCUUUGUUGUCCUGGUAAACCUGGAUUGGACAUUUGACAGGAAUUUUCAUAUCUUUGCACAAUUGUACUAACCAUUCACAAUCUUUAAGUGAAUAAGACAGUGCAUUCAGUUCAGCUUCACAAGUACUUAAGCUAACUGUUGUUUGCUUCUUGCAUGACCAAUCAAACAGACUCUGAUUGUACAUGUAGCAAACUCCAGACGUACUUUUCCUGUCUGUAGUGUCACUUCCAAAACUUGCAUCUGCAAAUAUCUCAAGACCACCAGACUUCUGAUUGUUAAAUCUCAGUCUGUAAUGCAUAGUGCCUUUCAAAUACCGCGCUAUGCGUUUCAGAGCUUUCCAAUCCUUGACACUAGGAUUGUUGACUUGUCUGCUUAGCAAAUUACAGCUAACAGCAAUGUCUGGUCUUGAACAUCUGGCAAUGAAGUUUAGCUUGCCUAGCACACUCCUGUACAGUGUAGUGUCAGAAAAUGCUUCUUCAGUGUCAUCUACCUGAUAACCUGUUGUCAUCGGUGUGUCUACAGGGUUAGCAUCCAUCAGAUUUAGUUUGCUUAACACAUCAGCAAUUUUCCGUGACUGGUGUACUAGAAUGUUACCAUCUUGAUCUCUCUCUAUUUCCAGAGAUAGGUAGUUGUUUACCUCACCAAGAUCUUUCAUGUCAAAGUGCUCUUUCAGUUGAGCUAGGGCGCUAUUGUACAUUGCGACAUCUUUCCAAAAGAAUAAUAAAUCAUCAACAUAAAACAAACAGUACAGUUUCUUUUGCCCCUCCUCUUUGAUAAAUACACAUGGAUCAGCUUUCCCUUGCUGAAAACCUAGAGAAAACAAUACUUCAGUGAGUUUUGUGUGCCAACACCGUGCACUUUGUUUGAGACCAUAAAGGGAUUUCUUCAGAGCACAAACAAAUCCCUGUUUUACCUUUACGCCAUCAGGUGGAAGCAUAUAAAGUGAUUCAUCUAGAGAUCCGUACAGAAAAGCUGUAUUAAUAUCAUGGUGACUAAUGUGUAGAUUUUCCUCUGCAGCUAGCUUGAGCAUAAGCCUAAUGCUUUCAUAUCUCACUGUGGGUGAAUAGGUCUCGUGAUAGUCUUCACCUGGUACCUGUGCAAAACCUCUGGCUACCAAUCUGGCUUUGUGUCUGACUAUCUUGCCAUUUUGAUCUGUCUUCGCUUUGAAGACCCAUUUGCUUCCAAGCAGUUUCAUUCCUGGAACUACUGGAACUAGCUCCCAUGUUUUGUUCCUUUCUAAGGAAUCAAGCUCAGCCUUCAUGGCAUUUAACCAUGGCUCAGCUUCCUUUGAAUCCAAACCCUGGAUUUCUUGGAAACUUGAAGGUUCAAAUACCUUCUUGGAGCUUUUAACAGCUGUUACUGCUAUCUUAGCAAACUCAUCAGCAAAUCUCUUUGGAGGUUUGCCUUUUGUGGCUCUCUGUGACCUACGAAUUAUCCUUAAGUCUUCAACACUCUCCUCUUCCUUCUUAGGAGAAAAACGACCUAUUGUGAACAAUGGUUCCUCCAAUUCUUGAUCAGAGCUUUCAGAGGGUCGCAUAGAGGCUUUCGCACUCUUGAAAUCCUCUGAAUCACCCGAUUCAGUUUCAGAUUCAGACUCAGAACCUUCAUCAGUGGGUGUGGGUUGUUGUGGUUGCUUUUGACUAUCCUCAGUCUCAUCACCGUCAUCAGGAUAACAUUGGAAAAUUCCCACAUUCUCCCCCACUUUGCAUUGUACUCGACACUUCUCGUGAGCUUAAUUGUCUUAGAGUCAGUCAUCAUUAUUCUGUAAGACCCUUUCUGAUAACCUAGAAAGAUACCAUGCAAUCCACGCUUGUCUAACUUGGAGUUUUGGGGUGAGCGAACCCACAUGUCAGAACCAAAAAUCUUCAUGUGUUUGAUGUAUGGCUUCUUGCCAAACAUCUUUUCAUAGGGGGUACAAUCAAUCGCUGAAGAUAACCUGCGAUUGUAACUGUAAACAAAACACGAGAGAGAUUCGGCCCAAUAACUCUCUGGAAGAUUGGCAUCAUGCAGCAAGGUUUUUAGUCCUUGAAGCAAUGUUUGAUUUGCCCGUUCCGCAAGUCCAUUCUGCCAUGGCGAGCGAGGACUAGACAAAUCGUGUUGAAUUCCUUUCUCAGUCAGAAAAGCUUCAAACUGCUGAGAAGUGAAUUCCCCGCGAUCACUGAAAAGAGUCUUUAUCUUCUUACCAUGCACAUUUUCCAACCAAGCACAGAAUUCCUUGAACCUAGGAAAAGCCUCCGAUUUCUGCUUGAGAUUGUACACAAAAAUAUAUCUAGAAAAUGCAUCAAUGAGAACCAUGAAGUAUCUAUUUCCACCCAAAGAGGGCGAUAGUGGUCCAACCAAAUCAGCAUGAAUAACCUGGUAUGGUUCUGUAGCUUUCCUACUAGACACCUUACCUUUCGCAGCCAUUUUCACCUUGUUUGCUGCGCAUGCUUUGCACUUCAUGUGGUACCUGCAGGGUUUAAUAGUCAUACCUUCAACCAAGGCAGGCAUUUUAGAUACUGCCUCAAAAUGCAAAUGACCAAAUUUGCGAUGAAAAUCGUGAAUACAUUCUGCAUGCAAACUUUUGUUAGAACCUGCAAUGCAACAAGUGUCAUCCUGCACCAUAUCAUCAUAAUACAAAACAAACAAACGAUCAACAUAUUCUGCAUGCAAUACAUAAUCAUUUUUCUUUGUGAUGAUGCACUUCUUGUUCUUGAAGGAAACGUCAAUGUUCCGCUCAUUCAGCUGUCCAACGCUGAGCAGAUUAUGUUUGGCGUCUGGCACGUAAAGCACAUUCUGUAUCGAUAAGUCCAAACUGUGAAGAACAACAGUUCCGUAGCCUUUACUGGGAAUAAUGUGGUCAUCCGCCUGGUGAAUCGCACCUUCCUGCGGUGUAAAAGACACAAACAGUUUCUUAUCGUUGCACAUGUGGUGGGUGGCCGCUGAAUCAACAACGAAGAAAGAUCUAGACGUCUUCUGGACCUCUGCAACCUUUGGAGUGAAGCGUGAAACCAUAGCCUUGUGCUGCGUUGUCCUAGACACCGGACCUUUGCCUUUGCCUCGGCCUUUUCCGCGCGAUGAGCUUUCGCUGCGCUGCUCUGUCUUGGCCCUGGGAUGUCUGCAUUCCCUCUUCAUAUGGCCUAGACGUCCACGCGAGUAGCAUUUCACUGCCUUCAAAGCUUUGGCGCCAUCUGGUGGUUCCACUGCACUAUGGGAUGACGUCUGUGAAGACUCCCCCCUUGCCCAUGCAGCUAGCACCCCGGCGAUCUGCUUCAUUUAAAAUCACGGCAGUAACAAAGUCCACUGUCAGCUGAGCAGUUGGUUGCACAGCAAUCUGGGUUGCAACAGACUCCCAACCUGAACCCAAAGAUUGUAGUAUCAUGAAAGAAUACACAGCCUCUGGAAAGUUGAGUCCUCUCUGUUGCAGCUCAUGUCUCAGAUUUUGCAUCUCCAUCAGAUGUAAACGUACAUCUCCACCUUCAGCAAGAGCCAUAUUAUGCAGCUUGUUAAAGUAAUACAUAGUAGAUCCAGCUUCUGUCCUUAAGUGAGCCUCUCUCAGAGCGUCCCAAAUUUCUCUGGCUGAGGUCUUAUCACGCAAUAGACAGAGCUCUUCUGGGGAUACUAUCAAUGUAAGAGUUCCCCUUGCUUUGGAAUCCUUAGCUUCCCAUGCAUCUGUAACUGGAACUGGGGGGGUUGCUGUAAUCACCUCAAACAAACCCUCUUUCCGCAGAAUUGCCUCUGCAUACUGAACCCAGUCACUGUAAUUCUUCUUGUUGAGCUUAGGAAUCCCACAAGCAUCCUGAAGGGCCAUCAUGACUCUGGCAUUAGCCUUCAGCGUCAUUAUAUGCUGCUUUAAAUCUUGCUGCGUCACUGCUGCAGCUGCCUCAUUACAAAGGCACACUUAAAAGUUACUUUCGAUUUCCCCAGCAUAGUGACUUGUGCCUGGGAGCCUUUUGCCUAUUUGCAAAACCGGCUUUAAAAGUUCAAAGUCCAGCCAUAAAGCCAUUAUCUUGAAGCUGGCAGGCUGCCCGGAGCAGUAGCACAUACCUCAUCAAUCACUUCUUCGCGCAGAGCAGAUUCCUUUCCGAUCCGUCCCUCUGCAUUCCGAUCCUUUGCCGGCACUCCGAUUCGACCUCUGGGCCCAUAACCACGUGUUGAUUUAAAGCAGAGCCUCGUGCCCAGCGGAAGGAUGAGGAAAAUGUGUUACAUACUCUAUAUUGCUUUAUUUACAGUUCAAAGCUGGUAUAUUACAGAAAGACAUCUUGCCUCUGCAAGAGCAGAAAAAUGCAUCCUCUCUCCUCCACAGCUUGGAGAGAAUCACAGUGAAAAACAGGAAACCAGUGUACGUCACAUCCAGUCUCCCUUUCCCGUGAGAAACUCCAACAGUACAGACUGUGGAAUGUAAAACAAUGUCUUGUGACUGCAGUUGCUGCUCAGUGAGGGAAAUAGAAACCAACAUUAAGAUGGAGCUAUGGCCCUUCUUUCCAAGUUACCUUAUCAUCUCAUCUCAUCCUACCUGACAAGACACAUGAUCAAUGGAGCUUACUGGUGGUAGUAAAUAGUUGGGACAGAGCAUUUCCACGUGUUAGAGAGAUUCUCUGGGUCCCUUCAGAGAGCAAUUAAAGCACAUUCAGCACAGAUUUAAAGCACAUGGCUUCCCUCAACAAACCCUGGGAACUGGAGUUUUGCCCUCAUGGAGCUUUAAUUCCCAGCACCCCUAAGAAACUACAGGUUCCAGGAUUCAUCGAGGGAAGCUGUGGGCUUUAAAUGCAUGGCGGGGAUCUGCCAGUGGAUCUGUUAAUGUAUAGAAAGAUUGGCUACAUGCAGACAUGUGUUCCUAGAAGGCCCUGCAUAGUUCAAGGAACGGGUUUCGUAAAACAACACAGGUGGCUGAAGCAAGUGUACAUCGUUCCCAGCUUUCCUUGGCAAUCAUGGUCCUUUGACAAUGGACUACUAGGACACAGGCUUCAUAUUUCCUGCUACCCCACCCCUUUUUUGAUGUUUUAGCUUGGGCACUUAUAAACACCCCAUACUGUAGGGACCAUUUCCAUCACACUGUCCUAGGGUGUGUGGUUUUGAACUAUGUUUGUAGAAGCUGGGCUCAUUUUAGCUUAAAAAGUGUGGGCCCAAACAGAUGCCUCAGUACAUGUGCGAGAUAUGGCAGUUUGUACCUUAUCUUAGGCAGAUUUUGUGUCCUGGACUUUUUAAAGCUUUCUGGCGGCAUACAGAGAAAUGCUGAGCAGCCUAACUCAUUCACAAGAUAGAGUUGCCAUAUUUCAAAAAGUAAAAAUCCAGACACAAAAGUUACGUUUUUGAGCUGUUUUUAAGGAAAAUCGGCAAAAACGACACUGCCAACAUGGGUUGCCAUAUGUCCGGAUUUUGCCAAUUUCCACCCAGACACUGCCUCUGAAUGCAAUAUUCCAGGUAUGUCCAGGAAAUUCCAGACAUUUGGCAACCCUGUCAUGAGACUGUUGUCUUUUUGAAGAGCUGCACUUUUUAAAAGAAAAAGAUAGAAAGAAGAAUCCUCUGCGUGCUCAUUUAAUGUCACUGUGGUAUUUUUGUAAAUGGCUUUUUUUAAUUAAAAAAAAUGCAUAUAUUUUUAUUCUAAUAAAUGCCUUCCUGUUUG
This is a non-coding RNA of Podarcis lilfordi (Lilford's wall lizard), 7763 nucleotides long. The record is from the annotation of a GenBank genome assembly. NCBI's taxonomy places the organism in Eukaryota, Metazoa, Chordata, Lepidosauria, Squamata, Lacertidae.